UACGUAGGGUGCAGGCGUUAAUCGGAAUUACUGGGCGUAAAGCGUGCGCAGGCGGUUUGUUAAGCCAGAUGUGAAAUCCCCGGGCUUAACCUGGGAACUGCGUUUGUAACUGGCAAGCUAGAGUGUGGCAGAGGGGGGUGGAAUUCCAAGUGUAGCAGUGAAAUGCGUAGAUAUUUGGAGGAACACCAAUGGCGAAGGCAGCCCCCUGGGUUAACACUGACGCUCAUGCACGAAAGCGUGGGGAGCAAACAGG
RNAcentral lists this ribosomal RNA (253 nucleotides) under uncultured bacterium. RNAcentral describes it as "partial 16S ribosomal RNA". It matches the Rfam family "Bacterial small subunit ribosomal RNA", at positions 524 to 776 of the family's 1533-position model. The record is from RNAcentral.